UGGGGAAUAUUGGACAAUGGGGGCAACCCUGAUCCAGCCAUGCCGCGUGAGUGAUGAAGGCCUUCGGGUUGUAAAGCUCUUUUGGCGGGGACGAUGAUGACGGUACCCGCAGAAUAAGCCCCGGCUAACUUCGUGCCAGCAGCCGCGGUAAGACGAAGGGGGCUAGCGUUGUUCGGAAUUACUGGGCGUAAAGCGAGUGUAGGCGGUUGCCGUAGUCAGGUGUGAAAGCCUUGAGCUCAACUCAAGAAAUGCACUUGAUACUGGGUGACUAGAGGACCGGAGAGGAUAGUGGAAUUCCCAGUGUAGUGGUGAAAUACGUAGAGAUUGGGAAGAACACCAGUGGCGAAGGCGGCUAUCUGGACGGUUACUGACGCUAAGACUCGAAAGCGUGGGGAGCAAACAGGAUUAGAUACCCUGGUAGUCCACGCCGUAAACGAUGGGUGCUAGACGUUGGCGAGCUUGCUCGUCAGUGUCGCAGCUAACGCGUUAAGCACCCCGCCUGGGGAGUACGGCCGCAAGGUUGAAACUUAAAUGAAUUGAC
RNAcentral lists this ribosomal RNA (541 nucleotides) under uncultured bacterium. RNAcentral describes it as "partial 16S ribosomal RNA". It matches the Rfam family "Bacterial small subunit ribosomal RNA", at positions 355 to 914 of the family's 1533-position model. The record is from RNAcentral.